GCGAGAAAACUUUGCAAUGUGCGAAAGCACGACAAGGUUAAUCCGAGUGGUUCACUAACGAAUAAGGGGUGGGCAAGUCUGGUGUCAGCCGCCGCGGUAAAACCAGCACCUCAAGUGGUCAGGAUGAUUAUUGGGCCUAAAGCAUCCGUAGCUUGCUUUGUAAGUUCUCGGUUAAAUCCAUGCGCUUAACGUAUGGGCUGCCGGCAAUACUGCAAAGCUAGGGAGUGGGAGAGGUAGACGGUACUCGGUAGGAAGGGGUAAAAUCCUUUGAUCUAUUGAUGACCACCUGUGGCGAAGGCGGUCUACCAGAACACGUCCGACGGUGAGGGAUGAAAGCUGGGGGAGCAAACCGGAUUAGAUACCCGGGUAGUCCCAGCUGUAAACUAUGCAAACUCAGUGAUGCAUUGGCUUGUGGCCAAUGCAGUGCUGCAGGGAAGCCGUUAAGUUUGCCGCCUGGGAAGUACGUACGCAAGUAUGAAACUUAAAGGAAUUGGCGGGGGAGCACACAGGGGGUGAAGCCUGCGGUUCAAUUGGAGUCAACGCCAGAAAUCUUACCCGGAGAGACAGAGAAUGAAGGUCAAGCUGAAGACUUUACCAGACAAGCUGAGAAGUAGUGCAUGGCC
RNAcentral lists this ribosomal RNA (623 nucleotides) under uncultured archaeon. RNAcentral's name for it is "bacterial SSU rRNA". It matches the Rfam family "Archaeal small subunit ribosomal RNA", at positions 339 to 999 of the family's 1478-position model. The record is from RNAcentral.